RNAcentral lists this ribosomal RNA (274 nucleotides) under uncultured bacterium. RNAcentral describes it as "partial 16S ribosomal RNA". It matches the Rfam family "Bacterial small subunit ribosomal RNA", at positions 523 to 796 of the family's 1533-position model. The record is from RNAcentral.
AUACAGAGGGGGCGAGCGUUAAUGGGAAUUACUGGGCGUAAAGCGCGCGUAGGCGGCUUGGUCAGUCGGAUGUGAAAGCCCCGGGCUCAACCUGGGAAUGGCAUUCGAUACUGCCAGGCUAGAGUAUGGGAGAGGGAAGUGGAAUUUCCGGUGUAGCGGUGAAAUGCGUAGAUAUCGGAAGGAACACCAGUGGCGAAGGCGACUUCCUGGCCCAAUACUGACGCUGAGGUGCGAAAGCGUGGGGAGCGAACAGGAUUAGAUACCCUAGUAGUCC